This 497-nucleotide ribosomal RNA is filed under the name uncultured bacterium. Its description in RNAcentral is "partial 16S ribosomal RNA". It matches the Rfam family "Bacterial small subunit ribosomal RNA", at positions 28 to 507 of the family's 1533-position model. The record is from RNAcentral.
GAUGAACGCUGGCGGCGUGCCUAACACAUGCAAGUCGAGCGAACGGACGAGAAGCUUGCUUUUUUGAGGUUAGCGGCGGACGGGUGAGUAACAAGUGGAUAACCUACUUAUAUUACUUGGAUAAUAUCGGGAAACCGGAGCUACUACUGGCUAAUAUUUUGAACCGCAGGGUUCAAAAGUGAAUCACGGCUUUCGUGUCUGUUAUAGACGGUUCCGCGCUGCAUUAGCUAGUUGGUAAGGUAACGGCUUACCAAGGCAACGAUGCAUAGCCGAGCUGAGAGGGUGAUCAGCCACACUGGAACUGAGACACGGUCCAGACUCCUACGGGAGGCAGCAGUAGGGAAUAUUGCGCAAUGGGCGCAAGCCUGACGGAGCAACACCGCGUGAGUGAUGAAGGUCUUCGGGUCGUAAAGCUCUGUUAUUGGGAAAGAAAAUCUGUGUAAGUAAAUGUGGAUGUCUUGACGGUACCUAAUGAAAAAGCAACGGCUAACUACGUG